RNAcentral lists this unclassified non-coding RNA (327 nucleotides) under fungal sp. Its description in RNAcentral is "partial internal transcribed spacer region". The stretch from base 1 to 46 matches the Rfam family "Eukaryotic small subunit ribosomal RNA", at positions 1786 to 1831 of the family's 1831-position model. The record is from RNAcentral. Lineage: Eukaryota; Fungi.
AAGUCGUAACAAGGUUUCCGUAGGUGAACCUGCGGAAGGAUCAUUAUUGAAUUCAACUGCGAAGCUGUUGCUGGCUCCUCUGGGGCAUGUGCACGCUUCGAAAGUCAUUUCAACCACCUGUGAACCUUUUGUAGUCUUGGGUGACGCUACUUAUCAAAGGAAACUUUGGAUUUGAACGCUGCGGGCUUUGCAAAAAGUCGGCUUCGUUCUACAGCAGAACCCGGGUCUAUGCUUUAUAUACCCCAAAUGUAUGUUAAUGAAUGUGAUGCAAGGGCUUUCUAGCCUUUAAAUCAAAUACAACUUUCAGCAACGGAUCUCUUGGCUCUC